ACUGCGUACCUUUUGUAUAAUGGGUCAGCGACUUAUAUUCUGUAGCAAGGUUAACCGAAUAGGGGAGCCGAAGGGAAACCGAGUCUUAACUGGGCGUUAAGUUGCAGGGUAUAGACCCGAAACCCGGUGAUCUAGCCAUGGGCAGGUUGAAGGUUGGGUAACACUAACUGGAGGACCGAACCGACUAAUGUUGAAAAAUUAGCGGAUGACUUGUGGCUGGGGGUGAAAGGCCAAUCAAACCGGGAGAUAGCUGGUUCUCCCCGAAAGCUAUUUAGGUAGCGCCUCGUGAAUUCAUCUCCGGGGGUAGAGCACUGUUUCGGCAAGGGGGUCAUCCCGACUUACCAACCCGAUGCAAACUGCGAAUACCGGAGAAUGUUAUCACGGGAGACACACGGCGGGUGCUAACGUCCGUCGUGAAGAGGGAAACAACCCAGACCGCCAGCUAAGGUCCCAAAGUCAUGGUUAAGUGGGAAACGAUGUGGGAAGGCCCAGACAGCCAGGAUGUUGGCUUAGAAGCAGCCAUCAUUUAAAGAAAGCGUAAUAGCUCACUGGUCGAGUCGGCCUGCGCGGAAGAUGUAACGGGGCUAAACCAUGCACCGAAGCUGCGGCAGCGACGCUUAUGCGUUGUUGGGUAGGGGAGCGUUCUGUAAGCCUGUGAAGGUGUACUGUGAGGUAUGCUGGAGGUAUCAGAAGUGCGAAUGCUGACAUAAGUAACGAUAAAGCGGGUGAAAAGCCCGCUCGCCGGAAGACCAAGGGUUCCUGUCCAACGUUAAUCGGGGCAGGGUGAGUCGACCCCUAAGGCGAGGCCGAAAGGCGUAGUCGAUGGGAAACAGGUUAAUAUUCCUGUACUUGGUGUUACUGCGAAGGGGGGACGGAGAAGGCUAUGUUGGCCGGGCGACGGUUGUCCCGGUUUAAGCGUGUAGGCUGGUUUUCCAGGCAAAUCCGGAAAAUCAAGGCUGAGGCGUGAUGACGAGGCACUACGGUGCUGAAGCAACAAAUGCCCUGCUUCCAGGAAAAGCCUCUAAGCAUCAGGUAACAUCAAAUCGUACCCCAAACCGACACAGGUGGUCAGGUAGAGAAUACCAAGGCGCUUGAGAGAACUCGGGUGAAGGAACUAGGCAAAAUGGUGCCGUAAC
RNAcentral lists this ribosomal RNA (1136 nucleotides) under Escherichia coli. Its description in RNAcentral is "partial 23S ribosomal RNA". It matches the Rfam family "Bacterial large subunit ribosomal RNA", at positions 596 to 1734 of the family's 2925-position model. Lineage: Bacteria; Pseudomonadati; Pseudomonadota; Gammaproteobacteria; Enterobacterales; Enterobacteriaceae. The record is from RNAcentral.